Molecule: ribosomal RNA, 508 nt
Filed under: uncultured bacterium
Lineage: Bacteria
Description: partial 16S ribosomal RNA
Rfam family: Bacterial small subunit ribosomal RNA
Source: RNAcentral
AUUGAACGCUGGCGGCAUGCCUUACACAUGCAGGUCGAACGGCAGCGGGGGAGAAGCUUGCUUUUCCUGCCGGCGAGUGGCGAACGGGUGAGUAAUACAUCGGAACGUGCCCUGUAGUGGGGGAUAACUAGUCGAAAGAUUAGCUAAUACCGCAUACGACCUGAGGGUGAAAGUGGGGGACCGCAAGGCCUCAUGCUAUAGGAGCGGCCGAUGUCUGAUUAGCUAGUUGGUGGGGUAAAGGCCUACCAAGGCGACGAUCAGUAGCUGGUCUGAGAGGACGAUCAGCCACACUGGGACUGAGACACGGCCCAGACUCCUACGGGAGGCAGCAGUGGGGAAUUUUGGACAAUGGGCGCAAGCCUGAUCCAGCAAUGCCGCGUGUGUGAAGAAGGCCUUCGGGUUGUAAAGCACUUUUGUCCGGAAAGAAAUGGCUCUGGUUAAUACCUGGGGUCGAUGACGGUACCGGAAGAAUAAGGACCGGCUAACUACGUGCCAGCCGCCGCCGUAA